GACGAACGCUGGCGGCGUGCUUAAUACAUGCAAGUCGAACGGGCCUUGUCCCCUUUUUUUUGGGGGAGGGGUUAGUGGCGCACGGGAGAGUCACACGUGUGUAACCCGUCCCCCACUUCUGGAUCAUCGCUUGAAAGGGUGGCUUAUACGGGGAGGUUUUGACCGGCCUCAUGCGUGGGUUUGGAAAGGUCAGGCCGGCAGUGGUUGAUUUGGUCGGGGUUGGUCCCGCGGCUGAUCAGCUUGUUGAUGGGGUGAUCGUCUGCCAAGACCUUGACGGGUAGCCGGCCUGAGAGGGUGGGCGGUCACCCUGAGACAGAGACGCGGCCCAGACUCCUGCGGGAGGCAGCAGUGGAGAAUAUUGCACAGGGGGCGCACGCCUGGUGCAGCGGCGCCGCGUGAGAGGAAGAUGCCUUCAGGUUGAAAACCUCUUUCGCCAGUGGAAAAGAUCCUGCUCUUUGUGGUGGGAUUGACGGUAGCUGGGAUAAGGAAGCGCCGGCUAACUACGUG
RNAcentral lists this ribosomal RNA (507 nucleotides) under uncultured bacterium. RNAcentral's name for it is "partial 16S ribosomal RNA". It matches the Rfam family "Bacterial small subunit ribosomal RNA", at positions 28 to 507 of the family's 1533-position model. The record is from RNAcentral.